This 483-nucleotide ribosomal RNA is filed under the name uncultured bacterium. Its description in RNAcentral is "partial 16S ribosomal RNA". It matches the Rfam family "Bacterial small subunit ribosomal RNA", at positions 28 to 506 of the family's 1533-position model. The record is from RNAcentral.
AUUGAACGCUGGCGGCAUGCUUUACACAUGCAAGUCGAACGGCAGCGCGGGCUUCGGCCUGGCGGCGAGUGGCGAACGGGUGAGUAAUGCAUCGGAACGUGCCCAGUAGUGGGGGAUAGCCCGGCGAAAGCCGGAUUAAUACCGCAUACGACCUGAGGGUGAAAGCGGGGGACCGAGAGGCCUCGCGCUAUUGGAGCGGCCGAUGUCGGAUUAGCUAGUUGGUGGGGUAAAGGCUUACCAAGGCGACGAUCCGUAGCUGGUCUGAGAGGACGACCAGCCACACUGGGACUGAGACACGGCCCAGACUCCUACGGGAGGCAGCAGUGGGGAAUUUUGGACAAUGGGGGCAACCCUGAUCCAGCCAUGCCGCGUGCGGGAAGAAGGCCUUCGGGUUGUAAACCGCUUUUGUUCGGGAAGAAAUCCUCUGGGCUAAUACCCCGGGGGGAUGACGGUACCGGAAGAAUAAGCACCGGCUAACUACGU